UUGACCUCGAAUCAGGUAGGAAUACCCGCUGAACUUAAGCAUAUCAAUAAGCGGAGGAAAAGAAACCAACAGGGAUUGCCCCAGUAACGGCGAGUGAAGCGGCAACAGCUCAAAUUUGAAAUCUGGCCCCCCCCAGGGCCCGAGUUGUAAUUUGCAGAGAUGUU
Molecule: ribosomal RNA, 164 nt
Filed under: Metarhizium minus
Lineage: Eukaryota; Fungi; Ascomycota; Sordariomycetes; Hypocreales; Clavicipitaceae
Description: partial large subunit ribosomal RNA
Rfam family: Eukaryotic large subunit ribosomal RNA
Source: RNAcentral